This 244-nucleotide ribosomal RNA is filed under the name uncultured bacterium. RNAcentral's name for it is "partial 16S ribosomal RNA". It matches the Rfam family "Bacterial small subunit ribosomal RNA", at positions 15 to 239 of the family's 1533-position model. The record is from RNAcentral.
GAUCCUAGCUCAGGACGAACGCUGGCGGCGUGCCUAACACAUGCAAGUCGAACGGAACUGUUUUGAAAGAUUUCUUCGGAAUGAAUUUGAUUUAGUUUAGUGGCGGACGGGUGAGUAGCGCGUGAGUAACCUGCCUUCAAGAGGGGGAUAACAUUCUGAAAAGAAUGCUAAUACCGCAUGACAUAUCGGAACCACAUGGUUUUGAUAUCAAAGAUUUUAUCGCUUGAAGAUGGACUCGCGUCCG